This 406-nucleotide ribosomal RNA is filed under the name uncultured bacterium. RNAcentral's name for it is "partial 16S ribosomal RNA". It matches the Rfam family "Bacterial small subunit ribosomal RNA", at positions 29 to 526 of the family's 1533-position model. The record is from RNAcentral.
AUUGAACGCUGGCGGCAGGCCUAACACAUGCAAGUCGAACGAGUGGCGGACGGGUGAGUAAUGUCUGGGAAACUGCCCGAUGGAGGGGGAUAACUACUGGAAACGGUAGCUAAUACCGCAUACCAUCGGAUGUGCCCAGAUGGGAUUAGCUAGUAGGUGGGGUAACGGCUCACCUAGGCGCAGAUCCCUAGCUGGUCUGAGAGGAUGACCAGACAAACUGGGAAUGGAACACGGGUCAGACUCCUAAGGGAAGGAGCAAUGGGGAAUAUUGCCAAAUGGGGGGAAACCUGAUGGAGCCAUGGCGGGGGGUAGGAGAAGGCCGUCGGGGUGGAAAGCUCGUUCAGCGGGACGGCGGUACCCGAAGAGGAAGCAACGGCUAACUACGUGCCAGCAGCCGCGGUAAUAC